This 578-nucleotide ribosomal RNA is filed under the name uncultured bacterium. RNAcentral describes it as "bacterial SSU rRNA". It matches the Rfam family "Bacterial small subunit ribosomal RNA", at positions 305 to 883 of the family's 1533-position model. The record is from RNAcentral.
CCCCCACAUUGGAACUGAGACACGGUCCAAACUCCUACGGGAGGCAGCAGUGAGGAAUAUUGGUCAAUGGGCGAGAGCCUGAACCAGCCAAGUAGCGUGCAGGAUGACGGCCCUAUGGGUUGUAAACUGCUUUUAUAAGGGAAUAAAGUGAGCCACGUGUGGUUUUUUGCAUGUACCCUAUGAAUAAGGACCGGCUAAUUCCGUGCCAGCAGCCGCGGUAAUACGGAAGGUCCGGGCGUUAUCCGGAUUUAUUGGGUUUAAAGGGAGCGUAGGCCGGAGAUUAAGCGUGUUGUGAAAUGUAGAUGCUCAACAUCUGCACUGCAGCGCGAACUGGUUUCCUUGAGUACGCAUAAAGUGGGCGGAAUUCGUGGUGUAGCGGUGAAAUGCUUAGAUAUCACGAAGAACUCCGAUUGCGAAGGCAGCUCACUGGGGCGCAACUGACGCUGAAGCUCGAAAGCGCGGGUAUCGAACAGGAUUAGAUACCCUGGUAGUCCGCGCGGUAAACGAUGGAUGCCCGCUGUUGGGCCAACUGGUUCAGCGGCCAAGCGAAAGCAUUAAGCAUCCCACCUGGGGAGUAC